Molecule: long non-coding RNA, 585 nt
Filed under: Anas platyrhynchos platyrhynchos (common mallard)
Lineage: Eukaryota; Metazoa; Chordata; Aves; Anseriformes; Anatidae
Description: lncRNA (ENSAPLG00000023547.1)
Source: RNAcentral
UACAAUUUGGUUUAUCCAGAUGUGUAAAAACUAGGAGAAAGGUGUAGAAAGCACCAGCAUAACAAUGUGAAACCAGGCUUUGAAAAGAGAAAUAGCUCAGGAUCACAGAAACCAACCUCUGGAAGAGCUAGGAGUUAUAUCUCCUGAAUUGCACUAUAGUAUACUAAGCACAGUAUUCUCUUUCCUCCCCUGCUGUCAUUUUGUGAUGUAAAAUAUUCAAUUGCUGACCACACAUAUACAGCAAACUGACCCAUCGCUUUCCGGGGAAAAUUACCAAGCAGAAAAGAAAUGUUCAGACAUCCAAAGAAUUGUAAAAUCAAAGCUCUUAUGCCCUUUUCUCCUGCCAGGAUUAAAACGGGAUGGAUGAUGGUGUCUGUGGGAAGCAUGGCAUGAGGUGAAGGGAAGAAAGGAAAACCCCAGAAGAUGGGAAGACAGCCAAGCUUUAGAAAGCUUUUUUUUUUUUUUUUUUUUUUUUUUUUUAAUGAAACAAUUAAAUAGAGAAGAUUUAAAAAUAAUUUGACUGUUGCAUUGCAGCUCCAGUUUCUUUCCUGGGAAAAGUGAAUUAACUUCAAAUGCUGAACAUUG